Long non-coding RNA from Drosophila nasuta, 804 nucleotides. RefSeq lists it as uncharacterized. Lineage: Eukaryota; Metazoa; Arthropoda; Insecta; Diptera; Drosophilidae. The record is from RefSeq and is a predicted model, not a curated record. The transcript has 3 exons.
ACAUGUAUGUCAAAAUAGAAACGGAACGUUUAAUUUUCGUUAGGCAAACUGACGUGCUAUUUAUACAAGCUGUAGCUUGCAGCUAUCAACAAUGCAUCUGAUGAGACAUCUUCAGUUAGCAUGACAAUUUGCUGACUUGCGUUUUUUUGUAACAAUCCGCCAAAUCUUUUUGUGGACGUUCAACAUUUUUUGAAAAUGAGAUUUCCAUCAAUACCAGCGCGCUGCAGCGGCGUAUCUAGCAAUUAUUGGUUUUUGGUUUCGAAAAAAUCAUUAUUUCUUCCACAGUCUUUCAACCUUUCGCCACUUGUUGCCAAUCUGAUUCACACUUUCGGCUAAUAAAAGAGUUAGACUGCAUCCACUUGAAUCCGCGUUAAGAAUGCAAAACGCAAUCAAUAUUGGGAAAAACCCACUGAAUCUUUCUUAUCACUGAGACCCCAGCAGCGCAAAACAUCAUUCGCAUUUCUAUUACGUGUCUAUUACCUUUUCGACAGUGUGGGAACAAAAUUGAUUAAUAUGAUUGAAAAUGUGGGAUUAACAACCGGGUAGCUCAUCAACCAUUGGCAGUAGAAAAUCAUUCGACGAUGAGAUCGAUUGGAAUAAUUGUAAUUUUUGCUUCUUUUCUGGCCUAUAUCAGCCAGGCUCAAGGCGAGUGCUGUCGUGCUGCAUUAACUAUGGAUUAUUCUGUCCUUAAUGGGCAGUGUUCUGAUGUUGGCGGAUACCGUGGAAGUCAAGUUUGCAUUAUUACAAUAUGUGCCGAUGGUAAACCCCUGGUGGGAACCUACUGUGGACGUGAAUCGUGCGAUA